This is a small nucleolar RNA of Chiloscyllium plagiosum (whitespotted bambooshark), 117 nucleotides long. RefSeq annotates it as small nucleolar RNA SNORA26. NCBI's taxonomy places the organism in Eukaryota, Metazoa, Chordata, Chondrichthyes, Orectolobiformes, Hemiscylliidae. The record is from RefSeq and is a predicted model, not a curated record.
UUGCCCAUUUAAGACUGUCAGUGUCUUAAGUGGCCAACACAGGAGGGUAGAUAAAUUUCACCAUAAAACCCAAGGCAGUGUUUGUUGUUGCUUUGGAUCCUGUCUAGUGGAACAUGU